CCUACGGGUGUCUGCAGUGAGGAAUAUUGGUCAAUGGUCGGGAGACUGAACCAGCCAAGCCGCGUGAGGGAGGAAGGUACAGAGUAUCGUAAACCUCUUUUGUCAGGGAACAAAGACUGGGACGCGUCCCCGGAUGAGUGUACCUGAAGAAAAAGAAUCGGCUAACCCCGUGCCAGCAGCCGCGGUAAUACGGAGGAUGCGAGCGUUAUCCGGAUUUAGUGGGUUUAAAGGGUGCGCAGGCGGGCUGUUCAGUCAGCGGGCAAAGCCCGGGGGUCAACCCCGGCCCGCCGUUGAAACUGGCAGUCUCGAGUUGGAGAGAAGUAUGCGGAAUGCGCGGUGUAGCGGUGAAAUGCAUAGAUAUCGCGCAGAACUCCGAUUGCGAAGGCAGCAUGCCGGCUCCACACUGACGCUGAGGCACGAAAGCGUGGGUAUCGAACAGGAUUAGAUACCCGAGUAGUC
Molecule: ribosomal RNA, 459 nt
Filed under: uncultured bacterium
Lineage: Bacteria
Description: partial 16S ribosomal RNA
Rfam family: Bacterial small subunit ribosomal RNA
Source: RNAcentral